AGACGUUUUAGGUAUCCCUAGGGCGUACAGGGAAUGAACGGCUGGCGGCGUGCCCUAAUAACAUGCAAGUCGAGCGAACAGAUGAGAAGCUUGCUUCUCUAGAUGUUAGCGGCGGACGGGUGAGUAACACGUGGGUAACCCUACCUAUAAGACUGGGAUAACUCCGGGAAACCGGGGCUAAUACCGGAUAAUAUAUUGAACCGCAUGGUUCAAUGUUGAAAGACGGUUUCGGCUGUCACUUAUAGAUGGACCCGCGCCGUAUUAGCUAGUUGGUAAGGUAACGGCUUACCAAGGGCAACGAUACGUAGCCGACCUGAGAGGGUGAUCGGCCACACUGGAACUGAGACACGGUCCAGACUCCUACGGGAGGCAGCAGUAGGGAAUCUUCCGCAAUGGGCGAAAGCCUGACGGAGCAACGCCGCGUGAGUGAUGAAGGUCUUAGGAUACGUAAAACUCUGUUGUUAGGGAAGAACAAAUUUGUUAGUAACUGAACAAGUCUUGACGGUACCUAACCAGAAAGCCACGGCUAACUACGUG
Molecule: ribosomal RNA, 537 nt
Filed under: uncultured Staphylococcus sp.
Lineage: Bacteria; Bacillati; Bacillota; Bacilli; Caryophanales; Staphylococcaceae
Description: bacterial SSU rRNA
Rfam family: Bacterial small subunit ribosomal RNA
Source: RNAcentral